RNAcentral lists this ribosomal RNA (465 nucleotides) under uncultured bacterium. Its description in RNAcentral is "bacterial SSU rRNA". It matches the Rfam family "Bacterial small subunit ribosomal RNA", at positions 338 to 795 of the family's 1533-position model. The record is from RNAcentral.
CCUACGGGGUGCACCAGUGGGGAAUAUUGCACAAUGGGGGAAACCCUGAUGCAGCCAUGCCGCGUGUGUGAAGAAGGCCUACGGGUUGUAAAGCACUUUCAGUAGGGAGGAAGGUAGUGUAGUUAACACCUGCAUUGUUUGACGUUACCUACAGAAGAAGCACCGGCUAACUCCGUGCCAGCAGCCGCGGUAAUACGGAGGGUGCGAGCGUUAAUCGGAAUUACUGGGCGUAAAGCGCAUGCAGGCGGCCUGUUAAGUCAGAUGUGAAAGCCCGGGGCUUAACCUCGGAAUUGCAUUUGAAACUGGCAGGCUAGAGUCUUGUAGAGGGGGGUGGAAUUUCAGGUGUAGCGGUGAAAUGCGUAGAGAUCUGAAGGAAUACCAGUGGCGAAGGCGGCCCCCUGGACAAAGACUGACGCUCAGAUGCGAAAGCGUGGGGAGCAAACAGGAUUAGAUACCCGUGUAGUC